This 510-nucleotide long non-coding RNA is filed under the name Androctonus crassicauda. Lineage: Eukaryota; Metazoa; Arthropoda; Arachnida; Scorpiones; Buthidae. The record is from RNAcentral.
CCUGCUAUAACCAUGCUUCUGGCCGAGUUUCAUAAUCGAAAGGUCCAAGAAAAGUAGUGAGAGCAGCUUUGCCCUUACAGGAGGUAAAAGACUGAUUGCUGGCAGCUGAAGUUGAGAUGAUUCCCACUACAUGCUCCAAGUUGACUAGUGACAACACAGCUGAGGAUAUUAACUCCAAGAUUGUAACAAGCCAAAAAUUAUUUUUCUUGCAUGAAGAUGUUCCAGUGUUGUGUUGGUAUGGAUUAAAGACUGAUAAAUUAGGACUAAAGACUGUUGUGUAUUUCGCCAGCACCGUCAUUAAAAGAAGACUAAUUAGUGAUUUCUUUGGGAAAGGACAGAAAGGAAAAGGUAUUUAUUCUCCUAUCGCAGUGGCAUUAAGCCUAAUAUCACCUCAGUUGUAUAUAUAAAGAAAUCUCUUUCAAUAAAGAAAGUUUUGGAUUAUUUAAACUGUUGUCUCUGUAUCGAUGAAGUCUAGCCUCAUCGUCCAUCCUUAUCCACAAUCGAAGGCCC